RNAcentral lists this ribosomal RNA (431 nucleotides) under uncultured bacterium. RNAcentral describes it as "partial 16S ribosomal RNA". It matches the Rfam family "Bacterial small subunit ribosomal RNA", at positions 29 to 507 of the family's 1533-position model. The record is from RNAcentral.
AACGAACGCUGGCGGCAGGCCUAACACAUGCAAGUCGAGCGCCCCGCAAGGGGAGCGGCGGACGGGUGAGUAACGCGUGGGAAUAUGCCCUUUGCUACGGAAUAGUCUCGGGAACCUGGGGGUAAUACCGUAUACGCCCUUUGGGGGAAAGAUUUAUCGGCGAAGGAUUAGCCCGCGUUGGAUUAGGUAGUUGGUGGGGUAAUGGCCUACCAAGCCGACGAUCCAUAGCUGGUUUGAGAGGAUGAUCAGCCACACUGGGACUGAGACACGGCCCAGACUCCUACGGGAGGCAGCAGUGGGGAAUCUUAGACAAUGGGGGCAACCCUGAUCUAGCCAUGCCGCGUGAGUGAUGAAGGCCUUAGGGUUGUAAAGCUCUUUCAGCUGGGAAGAUAAUGACGGUACCAGCAGAAGAAGCCCCGGCUAACUCCGUG